AAAUAUCAAAGGAUCAUUGAUUUAGUACUUUAUUCAUCAUAAUAACUCGGUCCGCCUCUGCUUGAAGAGGUUCAGAUCUUUACAAUCGUAUUAUUCCUAGAGCGUUACAUGUAAUAUGUUUAGCUUUUUCUAUUAUGAACAGUGUUCCCGAUGAAGAGAGUUUCGAAGUUCUUGUUUCUUGGUAUUUAUAGCUGUGAGCUGCAUAAGCUGGCAACGAAUUGUCAUGGCCAAGUUGAGAAGACGCCUUCAUGGCAUGGGAGGGUCGUAGCCCCAUUGAUUGUUUCAGAGUCAAUUACAAUUACUUGGAGUCGAGCGUAUAGAAUAAUUGGGACGGAACCGGUUUCGUGACCAUCGUAUGAUCAGAUUUUUAUCAAUACACUGG
This 382-nucleotide long non-coding RNA is filed under the name Nicotiana benthamiana. Its description in RNAcentral is "long non-coding RNA (NBEN_LNC038894)". Lineage: Eukaryota; Viridiplantae; Streptophyta; Magnoliopsida; Solanales; Solanaceae. The record is from RNAcentral.